This is a long non-coding RNA of Cercocebus atys (sooty mangabey), 5621 nucleotides long. RefSeq lists it as uncharacterized. The record is from RefSeq and is a predicted model, not a curated record. The transcript has 2 exons. Lineage: Eukaryota; Metazoa; Chordata; Mammalia; Primates; Cercopithecidae.
UGAUCCGCCCGCCUCGGCCUCCCAAAGUGCUGGGAUUACAGGCGUGAGCCACCACACCUGGCCAAGGUCUGCAUUGUUAAUAGCGCCCUGCAGGGACCGUGCAGGCUGGCUGGGUUGCAUAGUGUCCACAUCGAUGAGGGAAAUGUGGGCAUGCAUGGUGAUGGGACGUGAGGAGGGCUGGCCCCCCGCUGGGAGGUGACUGGCUUGGCCUGAGGGACUGUAGCUGAGGGAAGAUGGACCAGGAACGGUUGCACGAUGGGUGUGGGAGAGUCAGGGGUCUUGUGAGUGAGCCAGUGCCAGGAGCUGUGAGAACCAGGGCCAGCCCCUGGGCAGCCUGGGCGUUUGGGGAUGGGCUGUGGAGCAGUUUUCAUGGCAGCGCCGCGGCCUGCUGACGUUUUCUUCAGACGUGCAAGGCGUUCUGUCUCCGGCUUGCCCUGGCUCCAGCAGGAAAUCUCCAGUCCUCUCGGUUUUUCCCUCCAACUGCUUUGAAAAGUUUUCACUGCCCCUGGUUUUGAGCAGUCUGAUGAGGACAUGCUUUGGUGUCCUGAGCGGUCUGACGAGGACACGUUUUAUGUACACGUACGCUACGUAACAGCCUUUGAGACUGGCUGCUUUUAUAUUCAUGGAAGGCUUCGCCAUGUAUUUUCGUGUCUUUUUAGCGCUGAGUGAAACUCCACGCUGGGCGUGGGCUGCAGCUCAUUCAUCUGCAUCCCCGUUGAAGGACGUCUUAGUAGCGUCCGCGCGUUGGCAGUUACGCAUCUAGCUGCCGUCGUGCAGGUUUUUGUUUUGACACAACUUUUCGGCCCAUUUGGGUGAAUAAAGAAGCCCGAUUGCCGGACUGUGUGAUAAGAGCCUGUUUAGUGAGAAACUGCCCAACUAUCCUCCCGCGGCCCUGCCGUGUCAUACCCACCAGCAACGAGUGAGCUCCCGAGGCCCGUGUCCUCCCCCGUGUUUGGUGGUGUCAGCGUUUGCGUUUGGCCAUUCGAAUCGGUGUGUAGUGGGAUCUUGUUUUCCAUCGCCUUUGAAGAUGUGCGUAGUUCUGUACCUUUCUGGUGCUCUUAAGUGCUUUGUUCCGACUCCAUGUUGGCAAGAGGGAUAAUUGUCUUUGAGUCUGAAGUGCCGUAUUUAACUUGUGUUGUCUUGUAGUUUCUCUGCGGUGACAUUCGCUUGGGUUUAGCUCUUAUACGGAUCAAAAGGCCCUAAUUCCUCCUCCUUUUCUGAAGUGCAUUUUUACAGGAUAUAGAAUUCUGAGUGGACUGUGUUUUUCUUUGGGCACGUUAAAGUUGUCCUCUUCACGCCUGCUUUCUGUUGUUUCUGAUGAGGAAUUUUCUCAUUCUUCUGUUUUCUUUAAUAUGAAAUCUCUUACCUCUGUCUAUAUAAAUGAUUUUCUUUUAUUUUUGGACUUUGGCCGUUUGUGAUGUACCUGGGUCUGGUUUUCUAAACUGAGCUACCUCGACCUGAGGGUGGGUGCCUUGUAACAGAUUUUGAAGUCUUGAUUGUUAUUUCUGCAAAUAUUUGUUUUCUUUUUCUUUCUUAGAGUUCCAUUUCUGGAAGAGUAUUUCUCAAUUUUUUCUGAUGUCCCACUCUGUCUUUUGGGUGUCAGGUACACGUGCCACGUCCUGGGUGUUGUCCCACAGGUCUCUCUAGUCACUGGUGUUACGGCCGUGGUGACCCACAGGUCUCUCCAGUCAUGUGUCACGGCCAUGGGUGUUGUCCCACAGGUCUCUACAGUCACUGGUGUCACGGCCGUGGUGACCCACAGGUCCCUCCAGUCACUGGUGUCACGGCCGUGGGUGUCCCACAGGUCCCUCCAGCCAUGUGUCACGGCCGUGGGUGUCCCACAGGUCUCUCCAGCCAUGUGUCACGGCCGUGGGUGUCCCACAGGUCCCUCCAGUCAUGUGUCACGGCCGUGGGUGACCCACAGGUCCCUCCAGCCAUGUGUCACGGCCGUGGGUGUCCCACAGGUCUCUCCAGCCAUGUGUCAUGGCCGUGGGUGUCCCACAGGUCCCUCCAGUCAUGUGUCACGGCCGUGGGUGUCCCACAGGUCCCUCCAGUCAUGUGCGAUUUGAUUGGAAUAGCUAAGAUAGGUUGGAGCUGGGAGAGACCACGGGAUGCCGUGUGUUGACUAACAAUAUUCUUCCUUGUCCGUGGGGUCUUGCGUUUCUGAGGGUGCACUACAUGUGGGUAAGGCAGUAAGAGGCAGAGGGGAUACUGUUUUGCCCCAGGAAGGCCUUGCCCCCGCCCCGUCAGCAGCUGGGUUGAUGUGCCGUCUCGAGGAGCUGGGCUGGCCUGGUCACCGCCUGUGUAGCGUAGCUUCGCCUCUGGGUUAGCUGUGGGGUGGUGGAAUCGUGACCUUUCCUGCAGCCCAGACCCAGGCAGGAGAACCUGGAGGGCCCGCUCUGCCUUGGGGCUCUUCCGGAUUCGUCCCACACCAGGCUCCUGGGACUAAUGAGGCCUCCACCGGGCUUGGUCUUGUCUAACCUCUGGAGAGCUCGUACCUGUCUAGAACAAACGUGUUGUCCUCAGCUUUUCGGCGGCCAUCAAUAAGUUAUUUGUGUUAGUUUGUUUAAUGCUUUCCUUUUACAGUGAAGCGAAGGUCUUUGGUGACCUCCUGCCUGCUAACCAAGCAUGGAAUUCUGUUCUGCACAGAAUCCGUGGCCGUGCCAGGAGGCCUUAGCCAGGGGCCUGCCUGGAGAUCGGCCCUCCUGAGACAAUUUCUGUGGGGUGGAGGUUGCUCAGAGCUGAUGGUCCCAGCGUGGCACUGUCUGGGCCCCUACGGACCUGACCCAGCUGCUGCUCUCUCCACCGUGGUCCUUGUUUCCUGGGUUUGUAGCUGCCGAGUAGGACGGCCAAAUAAAAUGCAGGCUGCCCAGUUAGCGUCGAAUGACAGAUACACGAGUGUGUGAGCACGUCCCAUGCAGUAUUUGGGACACACGCUGAAAACGGGUUUGUUGCUCCUCUGGGAUUGAAGUGUAACUGGGUGUCCUGUUUGUUUCACGGAUACCAGGACUCAGCUGGGGGUCCCUGGCGUUUGUUUGCUCCGUUCCUGGGCUGUUCCCGGGGAUGCGGAGACCCUGGCGUGGAGCGCCGCCUCCGCGUGUCCAGCAGAGGGCGCCCGUGCCCCCCGAAGGCAGCGCGGAGCCCAGAGCGCAGCCCAGCCCUGUGCCCUGGUCCUGUGGCUUGAGGUCGGGGAGGGAGGGGUGGUGGUCGCUGCAGGGCAAAUGUUUCCACUCAGCCAGAGCCACGACCCACGGCCUGUGCAGGGAGAGUCGAAAACACGGCCCCUCGUGAGCACUUGGGAAGUGAACUGUCCCCGCCCUGGUGGGCCGUCACCAGCCACAUCGAGAGAGACGCAGGAUGGUGGUGGCCUCGCCAGAGGCAUUACGUGUUCCCUGGAGCCCCUCCACCACCACCGUCCUUGUUCUUCUUUGAGUCGGAACCAGGUCCUUGGGGUCUGGGGGUGCUCAGCAGCUUUGCAGACUAGUUGAGGUCUUCCAGGUGACUCUCCUCGCCUUCACCGGCUCCUGGUUUGGGGGGCAAGGAUAGAAGCUACUAUGCAUCAGGUUUGUGAAUGGGGAUUUAAUCGAGUGUUUCACAGGGUGGCCCCUGCCAUCUCCGCCCCCGUUUUGUACGAGAAGCAGGCGGAAUCCAACUCUCCCCUUGAGAACACGCCGUUGCCCUCCACUGUUGCUUGUGUGUCUCGCCUGGCUGCGACCCAGUCAGAGCUCCCUGCAGUUGUCAAGUCCCUGGUUGACCUCAGGCUCCGGGCACUGAAGUCUUUCAGCGUCCCAGUAAGCACAGCCUGCGCACCCACUGUGUGCCAGCUCCCACCUUCCUGGAGCUUGGGGGAGGAGACAGGGACAGUGAGCAAACGUACAGACUGAGAUGGUGGGAGGGGCUGUGCGGUCCGGGUUCUCUGCACGAGAGGCUCUGGUGGCUACGUCCCAGGUUGUCUGCACGAGGGGCUCUGGCAUCUGGGCUCUGGCAGGGCGGCUGCUCCCCGGGUUGUCUGCACGAGGGGCUCUGGCGGCUGCACCCCGGGUUCUCUGCAUGAGGGGCUCUGGUGGCUACAUCCCAGGUUGUCUGCACGAGGGGCUCUGGCAGGGCGGCUGCUCCCCGGGUUGUCUGCACGAGGGGCUCUGGCAGGGCGGCUGCUCCCCGGUUGUCUGCACGAGCGGCUCUGGAGGCUGCAUCCAGGACUGCUGCUGUGUGGUUUUCUUUGCUGUGACCCGGUGAAGACUUCCUCACGGAGCACACCGGACUCGCAGUGCUGACACUCGGAGGGUUACCCUGUCCCUGACUGUAAGAUGACACUAAAUUAAGAGGCACUGCAGGGAUUGCAAAGUCUGAGUGGGAUUCUGAAUUCAUGGGUUCUGGAUUCUGAAUUCGAAGGCAGCAGUUUCCAACCCUGUUAAAUCUUGACCCCAGGAAGAAGGACCUUUUACAUCUUAACCCGGCAGACACAUGAUACCUACUGGCACUGUAUUUUGUUCAGUUAACCCUCAAAUGAUGUGUCCUAAUGUUUGGCCCUGGGUCAAGCAUUUCACAAACUGUUUAAUCUUCUCUACAAUCCCAGGUGAUAGCUACUGUCUUCCCCCUUUAUGCAGACAGACACCGAGGGAUACCUUAGAUGUCUUUCCACACCAUCCACCCCCUCGGCCUUUGCUGCCCACUUCCUGCACGUCAAACCCACUGACGGGCACCUGUUUGACUCCAAGAGCCCCGGGGCCAGAAACGUGGGAGACAACUGCUGUUCUGACCUUGAGCAAGUAAUUCACCUCUCAAGUCCCAGAGAAGCACAGAAAGCAACGGCAGGUGUAGUGGCUGGCUGCACUCAGGUGGCACCUACUGUGUGCCAGGCCCCCUUCUGCCCACUUCACAGGUGUCUCAGUCUCCACAGAGUCCGUUUGGAAACGGCCUGGAGCUAUCCAGGUUGCAAUGAGGCACCAAGGUGGCAGAGCCAGUGCUGGGCAAGAGGUGGGAGCUGCAGCUGCCGAACCCGUGAGCUUGCUUGCCUGGGGGUGGCGGCCUGGCCCCCAGGGGUGGUCUUGUCUCUAGGGGACCCAGCGUGGGGCCUUGUACCACCACCCGCUUCCAGCUCUGCCAUCUGCAGGUGAAGGAGAAAGCCACUGAGGCCUGGCCUCCAGGUCAGGCUGUGUCCCUGCUGGGAGCUGCACCGGCCUCAGGUUCUUCCUGUAAGGGAGGACCAGGCAGCUGGGGGCAGCAGCAGAUCCAGCUCUGAAAGCUCUGACAAGAAGUUCCUUGAAGUGUGAUGGACCGCAGUCAGCAUAUGCAGGAGACGACCCCAAUCCUGACCCUAAUGCUAAUUCUUGCUUCCCCCACCAGAUUUUAAUCCUUAUCCUGCCCAGGGAUUUUAAGGGCUGACCCAAAUCCCGACCCAAGGGGAAGGAUGGAAGGGGGAACAGCCUCCAGCCUCACCUCCGCGCUCUGUCCUCCCAGGUCGACCCCACCCCUCUCCCAGAUCUCUUCCUCCUGGCUUGGCCCGAUCCCACAGCCCCCACUGUCUUCUCCCCUCCCACUUUGGCAAGCCCCUCCACAUGACCUCUCCCUGCUCCCCAGCACACAGUAGGUGCUCAAUAAAGAACCCUGCCUUUCCUUGA